Long non-coding RNA from Magnolia sinica, 729 nucleotides. RefSeq lists it as uncharacterized. NCBI's taxonomy places the organism in Eukaryota, Viridiplantae, Streptophyta, Magnoliopsida, Magnoliales, Magnoliaceae. The transcript has 3 exons. The record is from RefSeq and is a predicted model, not a curated record.
UAGUGUGGUUCAAUUAGACCUUCGAUUUGCCUCAUUUUUGGGGUGAUUCUCUAUAUAAAAAAAAUUCAAAAUGAAUGGAUGGAGUGGAUAUACUAAAUACAUCAUGACGGACCCCACAAAUCCCUUGAGAUGACUGUCCAUCCCUAACUCGUUAGAAGCCAUGCGAAUGGCAAGGUGAUGUGAAUAAUAGUAUAAAGGCUACGGUCCAAAGGGGUUUUAGCUACGGUUUAAAGCCGUAGAAAUAAAAAUGCGGAAACAACUCACCUCGCACGUUCCUUUUUCUUCUUCCGCCUCCCGUGAAAAAAACAAAAAACUCAAAAAUUUCACCUCCCUCCCACUCUCGUGAGAAAAAAAGCCCAAACCCUCCUUUCCCUAAACAUCUCCUCUCUCUCUAUCUCCCCAACCCUCUCUCACGAAUACUCCUCUCUCACGAACCCUCUCUCAUGAAUACUUCCCUCUCAUAAACCCCUCUUCUCUCCCUAACCAUCCCCUCUCUCUCAAUCUCAUGAAGACUCCCCUCUCUCACGCCAUAAUCCACAUCCCUGCUGCUCGAUCGUGUCUCAUUUUGUUCCUUUUUAGAAUCCUCAGAUGAUGCCUCUCAAGUAAACGAUGAUGAAAAUGCACUUAUGGGUUUCUUUGAUGACUCCAAAGAGUAUGUGUAAAAUUGUAGAGGAAUCCAUUCAUUGAUCUGCCGAGAACAUAGCACUAGCCAUUGGUGCACUGUGUAUG